GUGGGGAAUAUUGCACAAUGGGCGCAAGCCUGAUGCAGCAACGCCGCGUGAGGGAUGAAUGCCUUCGGGUUGUAAACCUCUUUUAGUAGGGAAGAAGCGAAAGUGACGGUACCUGCAGAAAAAGCACCGGCUAACUACGUGCCAGCAGCCGCGGUAAUACGUAGGGUGCAAGCGUUGUCCGGAAUUAUUGGGCGUAAAGAGCUCGUAGGCGGCUUGUCGCGUCUGCUGUGAAAACCCGAGGCUCAACCUCGGGCUUGCAGUGGGUACGGGCAGGCUAGAGUGCGGUAGGGGAGAUUGGAAUUCCUGGUGUAGCGGUGGAAUGCGCAGAUAUCAGGAGGAACACCGAUGGCGAAGGCAGAUCUCUGGGCCGCUACUGACGCUGAGGAGCGAAAGCAUGGGGAGCGAACAGGAUUAGAUACCCCUGUAGUCC
This 430-nucleotide ribosomal RNA is filed under the name uncultured bacterium. Its description in RNAcentral is "bacterial SSU rRNA". It matches the Rfam family "Bacterial small subunit ribosomal RNA", at positions 354 to 796 of the family's 1533-position model. The record is from RNAcentral.